Molecule: ribosomal RNA, 497 nt
Filed under: uncultured bacterium
Lineage: Bacteria
Description: partial 16S ribosomal RNA
Rfam family: Bacterial small subunit ribosomal RNA
Source: RNAcentral
GAUGAACGCUGGCGGCGUGCCUAAUACAUGCAAGUCGAGCGAACAGACGAGGAGCUUGCUCCUCUGACGUUAGCGGCGGACGGGUGAGUAACACGUGGAUAACCUACCUAUGAGACUGGGAUAACUUCGGGAAACCGGAGCUACUACCGGAUAAUAUAUUGAACCGCAUGGUUCAAUAGUGAAAGACGGUUUUGCUGUCACUUAUAGAUGGAUCCGCGCCGCAUUAGCUAGUUGGUAAGGUAACGGCUUACCAAGGCGACGAUGCGUAGCCGACCUGAGAGGGUGAUCGGCCACACUGGAACUGAGACACGGUCCAGACUCCUACGGGAGGCAGCAGUAGGGAAUCUUCCGCAAUGGGCGAAAGCCUGACGGAGCAACGCCGCGUGAGUGAUGAAGGUCUUCGGAUCGUAAAACUCUGUUAUUAGGGAAGAACAAAUGUGUAAGUAACUAUGCACGUCUUGACGGUACCUAAUCAGAAAGCCACGGCUAACUACGUG